GCUCCUUGCCAGCUUGAUGGAUCAGUUGCUCAACUUGCUCCUGGGUUCCUUGAGGGACAACGUUCAGGGACAGGUGAACAUUUCUCUCUUGGAAGGGAGCAUCCUAAAGCUGGUACCCCACCACACCAAGUGUACUAUAGUCUUCAAAGACCCAGGCUGCGAGAGGGAUGCCCAGCUUUGAGCACAGCAGAAGCAGCCACACCCAGUUUGGAAAAGGGAGCUUCCAGCAAGUUUGAGCUAGAUUGUGUCCUGGGCUCUGUACCUGUCUUCCACCCCACCUUGGACCACCUUGACAUCUCCAUGACGCACGCUCUUGCCUCUUGACCAGUGGGAAUGUGUUGCUUUUUCUUAGAGGAGAGGAGAGGUGGAUGUGUUGGGUCCCCUUUCUAUGGGAGGGGAGGAGGAGACCCCAAAAGCGGGGAAGAAAUGGCUCUGAGCUGGUCUGUGACGGAUGUUGGGGAAGUUUGGUGGCUGUUAAACAUGGUACUGGACCUUUUUACAACCUCGUCUAAAGAAAAUAAAAAGAGGGAUAGAAACA
Long non-coding RNA from Podarcis raffonei (Aeolian wall lizard), 538 nucleotides. RefSeq lists it as uncharacterized. NCBI's taxonomy places the organism in Eukaryota, Metazoa, Chordata, Lepidosauria, Squamata, Lacertidae. The transcript is spliced from 2 exons. The record is from RefSeq and is a predicted model, not a curated record.